AAUUGCUUUUUUUUAUUAUAGUUUAUUUUUAAUGUGAAUGGGGGUUUUUUAUAAUAUUGAAGAAUUUUUUUAUAUUUUACCUUUGGUAUCAGGGUUUAUUAAAUAAUUUUUUUUUAUUAAUUUUUCCCGAAUUAAUAGGAUUUAUUUUAAUAUGUUUUUUUAUGUUUCAUAAUUAUUUUUAAUAUUAGGGUGGUAGUGAAAUGCUAUACGUUUAUUAAUAUAUCUGGUUUUCUGAGAUUAAAUUAAAUUUUAUAGAAAUUUUAAAUUUGAUUUUUUUUUAUUGAAUUUUUAGUUUUUCUUUAUUCUUUAGGGGAUAAGCUCUAAGGCUUUUUAUAAUUUUUUAUUGUACUAUUUUUUAUAGGCUUGAUAAUAGCCAUUAUUUAAAGUAUGUUCUAAUUUAUUUUUUUUUGUUUUUGAUUUAUUAAUUAUUUAAGUUUUUUAUUGGGAUUUUAGCUUUAAUUUUUAUUGUUGAUUAAUAAUGGUUGAAUUAGUAUAUUCUUAUGUUUUUUAUAUUUUUAUUUAAAUUUUGAUUGAAGGAAUUUGGCAAAUUUUUAGUAUUUCCGACUGUUUAUCAAAAACAUUUUCUGAAGUUUUUAUUUUAGAUAUGACCUGCUCACUGAGGAAUUAAAGAGCCGCGGUAUUUUGACUGUGCAAAGGUAGCAUAAUCAUUAGUGUAUUAAUUGUACACUGGAAUGAAAGGUUUAACGAGAAAAACUCUGUCUCUCAUUAAUAUUUAGAAUUUUAUUUUUUAGUAAAAAAGCUAAAAUGUUUUUUUUGGACGAUAAGACCCUAUAGAGUUUCACUUAAUGAUGUUUAUGUAAUUUGGGAUUAUUUUAUUUAUUUUUAUAUCUUAAUUUUGGUUGGGGUGAUCUGAGUGAUGAUAAAACCACUUAUUUAUAUUUUUCAUUGAUUUUUGUUUUUGUUGGUCUUGUAUUAUUGAUUAAAAGAUUUAAUUACCUUAGGGAUAACAGCGUAAUUAUCUUUAAGAGUUCUUAUUGACAAGGUAGAUUGCGACCUCGAUGUUGGAUUAAGAUUAUUUUUAGGUGCAGAUGCUUAAUAAAAUUGGUCUGUUCGACCAUUAAUGUCUUACAUGAUCUGAGUUCAGACCGGCGUGAGCCAGGUUGGUUUCUAUCCAAAAAUUUUUUUUUAUUUUCUAGUACGAAAGGACCGUGAAUUCUGAUUAUUUUAUUAAAAUUGAUUUUGAUUA
RNAcentral lists this ribosomal RNA (1207 nucleotides) under Paragavialidium hainanense. Its description in RNAcentral is "16S ribosomal RNA". The stretch from base 964 to 1123 matches the Rfam family "Archaeal large subunit ribosomal RNA", at positions 2542 to 2701 of the family's 2987-position model. Lineage: Eukaryota; Metazoa; Arthropoda; Insecta; Orthoptera; Tetrigidae. The record is from RNAcentral.